AGGAAAGUCUAGUUCCUUACAACUUAACGCAUAGCGUUGUGAAUAUGUAACGUUAGCGCUUAGGUAAGCGAGUGGGACGUGGGUCUUAUUUCUCUCGGCAACGGGAACGAAAGCGUUCGCCCCUCCGAAGCUUGUUUGAGGGUAAGGUUUAAUAUGUUGAAUAUUGCUUGAUUUUAUCCAGAAGGAUUGCCGCGGGGUGAACUACUUCACUCAACUAAAUUUGGCUUACCGCU
RNAcentral lists this non-coding RNA (233 nucleotides) under Candidatus Hodgkinia cicadicola. The record is from RNAcentral. Lineage: Bacteria; Pseudomonadati; Pseudomonadota; Alphaproteobacteria; Hyphomicrobiales.